This 1893-nucleotide long non-coding RNA is filed under the name Oryza sativa (Asian cultivated rice). RNAcentral describes it as "long non-coding RNA (OSAT_LNC001484)". Lineage: Eukaryota; Viridiplantae; Streptophyta; Magnoliopsida; Poales; Poaceae. The record is from RNAcentral.
UUUAACUUGAGCACUAUCUUGCUGCUCAUUGUUUUAACUGAACCUGUGGCCAAGUUAUUCUGUCUGUGUCUUGCUUCGUUCUCAAUAAGAUUAAGCCUGCAGAGUAAAAAAAAUCAAUGAAAAAUUAUACGACCUAAGUACAAAGAACUUUACUUUUUUGUUUCCUGGAGAUGUUUAUAGUUACAGCAAUGUUGGUCAACAUAUGAUUCUGCAAUCAUUGUACUUAAAGACUGGAGGUAGUUGCCAGUGACUUGACAAUUGGCAGUAAAUUAAUAAUAGUCAUUGAGUAACUCAUGUGUUGCUACAUUUGUAAUGACCUAAUUGUUUAUAAUCAAUCUUGUCAGUACUAAAAGGUGAGUAUCAACAUUUUCUAGUAAUCCCUGAUUAAUGCAUUUUUUUUUAUAAUUAAACGGUCUCGUGAAAUGCAUUCAUUCCAAACUUGUAUCAGUAUAUUGUCGGUCUGUGGGGUUACUGUUUUAUUUUCCCCGCUGUGAAACCUUAACUGUGAUUAUACCGUACUAAUGUACUAGCCCAAUGUUGUUUCUCUAUAAUUCAAUGCAAAAACGAUUCCUCAUAGGUCAAUCUGUCUCUUUUAGGCUCUUCUUUCUUACGCUAUAUCCAACUGAGUCCCCUCUUAACUCUUGACAGUACUUUGCCUAAUCUUACACUUUUACAAAUGACAAGCUCAUCCUAGUCUCUUUGCUCUUGGAAAUUCUUUAAAUGAUUAUACAUGAGACCUUGUAUGUAUAUGAUCUGUUCGAUAAUAACACAGAGAUUCCUAUAUUCCUUAGAAGCACCACGAGGUGCUGAAUACGUUAGUCUGUGUAGAAAAUAUACCUAUCCAACGCUAAGAAGUGUAGUACCACCUCAAACAUUUUUUAAGCUCUAGUACGAUGCAGCAAAUGAAGGUGAACUGCGUUAAAUAUAUGAGAUCCCUAUUUACACCUAACUGAAGUAUCAGACAGUGAUAAAAUUAAUGAUUUAAAAAGACAACAAAACCUCAUUAAAAUUAAUGUUCAAGGUGAAGAAAACAGAAUUAUCGGUAGGAAAAUAACAACUUAAUUAAUGCUUGUAAAUAACGAGCAAGUUCUCAUUCUAGCAAAAAUAUCAAUUUGAAAAUAAGUCGCUAAGCGAGCAGCUGGUGCAUGAUUUGACACUUCAAAAACUUUACACUCAUUUGCGUCAAGGCUCAACUUAUUCGGUUUAUAUAGAACAUACACCAUCCAUCCCAUAGAAAACCAACCUCUGGUUAGGUUUAAAUUCCAAAAGUUGUUUUUUUAGGAUGGAGGAAGUAAAAUACAAGUAAGACAAAAAAAAAAAGAGAAGAUGAAACAAACUAGUACUUGAGGAAUUCUUUUGGAAAUAAAAAUUGCACUCUGUUGUUGAAAGAUUCAAGCUCAAGAGCAAACUGAAUUUAUCCCCCAAAACGUCUCAUGAAACUCCUGAUUCAAUACUACAUCAAAUUUCAGCGAAAUAACUCGAGAUCAUUUGACACAUCAUCAAACAAUAUGUUGAACUCACCUCAUGUUCUUGUCAAUCGAUCCUUUUCUCAAGAGCUAAGCCUCCUCAUCCACAGCCACCAAUCUCGUCUCUUUGCCUUUUAUCUUGCACAUAAAACCGAAUUUCCUAGAGAACACACUCAAGAAAAAUUCAAUAUAUAUAACCAUAGAAUCCCACACAUCAUCACUCACUCUCUAGCACGAACACAAAAGAGACACGGGAUCGACUGCCAUUAUCUAGAAGCUUCUAGAACCUCUCCUCUUGGGAAAACAAUGGAGACAAGCUACCUAGGAUGAGAAAGUAAACCACUCGUUGUAGCUAGGAACACUGGAGAGAGAGAGAGAGAGAGAGAGAGAGAGCGAGCGAGCUAGGACUUCCUCAGGUGACUGCUUA